GGGUCUGUAGCUCAAUUGGAUAGAGCACCGGUCUUCGGAACCGACGGUUGGUGGUUCGAGUCCACCCAGGCCCAGUC
Molecule: transfer RNA, 77 nt
Filed under: Phycisphaera mikurensis NBRC 102666
Lineage: Bacteria; Pseudomonadati; Planctomycetota; Phycisphaerae; Phycisphaerales; Phycisphaeraceae
Description: tRNA-Arg
Rfam family: tRNA
About the family: Transfer RNA (tRNA) molecules are approximately 80 nucleotides in length.
Source: RNAcentral